Molecule: ribosomal RNA, 587 nt
Filed under: Asarkina ericetorum
Lineage: Eukaryota; Metazoa; Arthropoda; Insecta; Diptera; Syrphidae
Description: eukaryotic LSU rRNA
Source: RNAcentral
AGUACGUGAAACUGCUUAGAGGUUAAGCCCGAUGAACCUGAAUAUCCAUUAUGGAAAAUUCAAUACUUAAUAUAAAAAUAUGAAUAAUAUUUUAAUAAAAGUGUGCAAUUUUUCCAUAUAAGGACAUUGUAAUCUGUUAAUGCAAUAUAAAAAAUUUAUUAAAAGAUCCAUUACUUAAGUUUAUUUAAAUUGUUUAUCUUCGGAUAUUCAACAUAAAAUAAAUGUUUUGGAUUUAAUAAAUUAUUGACAGAUAUAAUUAUAUAAUGUGCUCAAAUUCAUAUGAAUUUUACAAUGGUAUUUAAAUCUAAUGAUUUAUUUAUUUAAUUGUUGGCACUUUUAUGAUUAACAAUGCGAUAGAUUCAGGAUACCUUCGGGACCCGUCUUGAAACACGGACCAAGGAGUCUAACAUAUGUGCAAGUCAUUGGGUAUUUUUAAUAAAACCCAAUGGCAUAAAUAACUUAACUUAUUAUAAUGGGAUUAGUUUAUAUUUUGUCAUGAAAUAUUUAUUCAAUCCCGGGGCGUUCUAUACAGUUAUGCAUAAUGAUAUUUAUAUUAUUUAUGUCUCUAACUAGAGCGUACCUUGAGC